CUAUGUCAGCACAGCAAGGAUACUGGAGCAGGAUUUCCUGAGAAGGAGCUGUUUAAGCUGGAUCAUUACUUGAGUUCCAUAUUACUAAACAAGGAAGUCAUGAAGUCCAAGCAAUAAUGGAGGAACGCUGGCACCCCCAGAGGGAAAGGACAACAUCCUACAGCAGAGACCUGCAAACAGGGCUUGGAAUGCUACUCUGAUCCAUCUCCUUCAUGAUAAUUCUAUCUCUCUGGAUCUUGCUUUCUUUAUUGUUUCUGCCUUUGGUGGACCCUAAAAUUUACACGAUGAGACAAAGCCCAACAGCAAGAAGGCGCAAGUUCCCUGCAGGAAGCACAUCCCAUGCCUGCCUGCUCAUCCCCUGGGGCUUUCAUUGGGAUGCAGACUCUCCUGCUGCAAAUGGGAGCCUUGGCCUGACCCAGACUUCCGGGACUAAUGGACCAGCUGAACAAACCAAGAUUCAGUGUCAGGCAGCCCAUUUGCCUAAAGGUGUAAGCUAUAUUCUCUAAUAACAGCUUCCUGUGAAUCUCA
Neofelis nebulosa (Clouded leopard) is the source of this 528-nucleotide long non-coding RNA. RefSeq lists it as uncharacterized. The transcript has 3 exons. Lineage: Eukaryota; Metazoa; Chordata; Mammalia; Carnivora; Felidae. The record is from RefSeq and is a predicted model, not a curated record.